AAAAAGACAAACCCUGGGUUUCCGUGCCAACGUUUAACUGUCCGUCUUAUAUGAAAUUUUUUUAUAAUUAGUAUUUUCAUUGCUGUUAGAUGAUAAAACAUGAUUAAUACUUUAUGCGUGACUUAUCUUUUUAAUUUUUUUCAUAAUUUUUUUAAAUAAGACGGAUGGUCAAACGUUGGACACGAAAACCAGGGUUUGUCUCUUU
This is a non-coding RNA of Oryza barthii, 205 nucleotides long. Lineage: Eukaryota; Viridiplantae; Streptophyta; Magnoliopsida; Poales; Poaceae. The record is from Rfam.